GAUGAACGCUGGCGGCGUGCCUAACACAUGCAAGUCGAGCGAUUUACUUCGGUAAAGAGCGGCGGACGGGUGAGUAACGCGUGGGUAACCUGCCCUGUACACACGGAUAACAUACCGAAAGGUAUGCUAAUACGAGAUAAUAUACUUUUAUCGCAUGGUAGAAGUAUCAAAGCUUUUGCGGUACAGGAUGGACCCGCGUCUGAUUAGCUAGUUGGUAAGGUAACGGCUUACCAAGGCGACGAUCAGUAGCCGACCUGAGAGGGUGAUCGGCCACAUUGGAACUGAAACACGGUCCAAACUCCUACGGGAGGCGGCAGUGGGGAAUAUUGCGCAAUGGGCGAAAGCCUGAUGCAGCAACGCCGCGUGAGCGAUGAAGGCCUUCGGGUCGUAAAGCUCUGUCCUCAAGGAGGAUAAUGACGGUACUUGAGGAGGAAGCCCCGGCUAACUACGUGCCAGCCGCCGCCGUAA
RNAcentral lists this ribosomal RNA (468 nucleotides) under uncultured bacterium. RNAcentral describes it as "partial 16S ribosomal RNA". It matches the Rfam family "Bacterial small subunit ribosomal RNA", at positions 28 to 523 of the family's 1533-position model. The record is from RNAcentral.